This 265-nucleotide ribosomal RNA is filed under the name uncultured archaeon. RNAcentral describes it as "partial 16S ribosomal RNA". It matches the Rfam family "Archaeal small subunit ribosomal RNA", at positions 719 to 982 of the family's 1478-position model. The record is from RNAcentral.
ACACGACUACAUUAGAUACCCGUGUAGUCCCAGCCGUAAACUAUGCUCGCUAGGUGUCAGGGACGGUGCGACCGUUUCUGGUGCCGCAGGGAAGCCGUGAAGCGAGCCACCUGGGAAGUACGGUCGCAAGGCUGAAACUUAAAGGAAUUGGCGGGGGAGCACCGCAACGGGAGGAGCGUGCGGUUUAAUUGGAUUCAACACCGUAAAACUCACCAGGGAAGACUGUUACAUGAAAGCCGAGUUGAAGACUCUGCUAGAUUUUCAG